This 397-nucleotide ribosomal RNA is filed under the name uncultured bacterium. RNAcentral describes it as "bacterial SSU rRNA". It matches the Rfam family "Bacterial small subunit ribosomal RNA", at positions 358 to 772 of the family's 1533-position model. The record is from RNAcentral.
GGAAUCUUGCACAAUGGGGGAAACCCUGAUGCAGCGACGCCGCGUGAGCGAUUAAGCCCUUCGGGGUGUAAAGCUCUUUCGGCAGGGAAGACUUUGACGGUACCUGCAGAAGCAGCUGCGGCUAACUACGUGCCAGCAGCCGCGGUAAUACGUAGGCAGCAAGCGUUGUUCGGAGUUACUGGGCGUAAAGGGUGCGUAGGCGGUUCUCUAAGUUUGGUGUGAAAUCUCCCGGCUCAACUGGGAGGGUGCGCCGAAAACUGGGGAGCUAGAGUGUGGGAGAGGUGAGUGGAAUUCCUGGUGUAGCGGUGAAAUGCGUAGAUAUCAGGAGGAACACCGGUGGUGUAGACGGCUCACUGGACCAUUACUGACGCUGAGGCACGAAAGCGUGGGUAGCAAA